RNAcentral lists this small RNA (69 nucleotides) under Escherichia coli. Its description in RNAcentral is "partial RtT sRNA". It matches the Rfam family "RtT RNA", at positions 1 to 68 of the family's 130-position model. Rfam says of the family: This family represents a bacterial cis-regulatory element known as RtT RNA. The exact function of RtT is unknown although it is thought that it may be involved in changing the cellular response in relation to amino acid starvation. The record is from RNAcentral. Lineage: Bacteria; Pseudomonadati; Pseudomonadota; Gammaproteobacteria; Enterobacterales; Enterobacteriaceae.
AUUCUGCCCAUGCGGGGAAGGAUGAGAAGCUUCGACCAAGGUGCGACUCGAGCGCCAGCGAGAGAGCGU